Molecule: transfer RNA, 67 nt
Filed under: Marmota monax (woodchuck)
Lineage: Eukaryota; Metazoa; Chordata; Mammalia; Rodentia; Sciuridae
Description: tRNA.Ala
Source: RNAcentral
GGAUUGUGGCUCAGUGGCAGAGUCCUUGUCUAGCACGGGCGGGGCCUGAGUUCGAUCCUCAGCACCA